GAAAUGCGAUACGUAAUGCGAAUUGCAGAUCUCAGUGAAUCAUCGAAUCUUUGAACGCAAAUUGCGCUCUCGGGUUAUCCCCAAGAGCACACCUCUCUGAGUGUCGGUUUAACCUCAUGCCCCAAUUUAUUGGGACGAUAGUCUGAGGGUAAGGGGUCUUGUGCCUUUUUCCCUUUAAAUUCAAGCGCGCGACAAUGUGUGUCGGUGGCAAGUUGCUUUCAGUUAAUUCUGAAUUCAAUCCACUGUCCCUAUGUCGUGUUGCCAAAAGAAACAAAGAUGCAAAGGAGUUCAUUUGGAGUGGGGACAGUUGGGGGCCGAGAACACGUCCUUAUGAACGACUUUGAAUCAACUCUAUGAAUUAGACCUCAGAUGAAGUGGGAAGACCCCCUGAAUUUAA
Molecule: unclassified non-coding RNA, 397 nt
Filed under: uncultured fungus
Lineage: Eukaryota; Fungi
Description: sequence contains ITS1
Rfam family: 5.8S ribosomal RNA (bases 1-106)
Source: RNAcentral